UAAAAUCACAACCAUGAGCACGUGUCUGUGAAAUAAACAAGCUGUUGAAGGACACGUGAUGGGCUGCUCCUGAGGCUUUUCCAUGAUUAUUCACACGGGACUUGUUCCUUCGCCUUGCCAUCUGUGGGCUCUCACUAGAGAUAGGCAGAGCUGUGAGUGCCAAAGGUUUAACAAAAAUUGAUGGGAAAAACUUAACAUUGAGAAAAUUGUAUCUUUGAGCAUAAUUUGGACAAGCUUCCACUAUUCUAUUUUAGUGAAGGAACAUUUCUUUCCAACUUCGGAGUGCCACUGAAGUUCAGUCUGCAGGGAGAGCUGGGUUGGGUGCUGGGGUUAGGGUGGGAGUAGGUGGGAUGGGGUGGGGGUGAGGGAGGUGAGUUUGGAGGAAGUUGGGUAGGGGCUGUGUAUUGGGGAUCUGAGGAAUUUGGGUCUGAUUCUUCAAGCCAUGGUAAGUUGUAGAGUAAAGGAGUGACAAAUGGAAGGGGGAAAUUUGGGAACGACAAACCUGAUGAGGGUGAAGGGUAGGUUGAAGUGCAUCAUAGCAGAGAGGUGAGAGAAAGAGAGCACAGACCUGGCUGAAGAGAUGGGGGAUCAGAAAAAGCAUUCUUCAGAUGCCUUCUUGUCCCGGCUCAGAACACCCCAAAGCUCAGAGGAACAGGACUGGGUUCACAAGGAAGAACAGGGAAGCUGUCUGGGCUAUCAACACUCUUCAGUGUCUUGGAAUCAACCCAGCAUGUCCUGCUGCUGCUGCUUUCUGCCUCUGCUAGCUUGGAUCCGCCUGUGAAAAGGGACGGGGUUGGGCUAAGGCAACGUUGAAACAUUGCAUUCCUCUGCCAGAAGCUUAAAAACCCUGCAAUCAAACCCGAGGCCCUAUGCGGAAACAAGUGUAUCCGAUGACAGCUUAUUAUGGAAGGUUCUGAACUUCUAAGAAUUCCUUAGUAGGAGACAAACAAAAUACAAAGAUAUCCUCCUAAUUUUCUGCGACUGGGAAUUUUUGUUUUUCUCUUCCUCACUUCUCCCAUCCAUUCUGCAUGUUUGUUAAAAUGUAGGCACACAGGGUCCACGGUGUGUGGUACUUGAGUGGGCAAAAGGCUAGUUCAGCUGGCCAGCGAGGCAGACAAGACGUGGUUCAACACACGCAUUGCUGGGAGCUGGGACUUCUCCUUCAUUAGUUAAACAUGGGCAUGAAGUAAAGAUUUCUGGUGUGUGUGUCUGUGUGUUUUCAAACGGCAGGUUCAGCACUUCUAAGUACAUAGCAUGAUAGGAAGAGAAGUCUGUAAUCACCUCUCAUGUCUGGGGUCCUGAUGGGCCCAGAGCAGAUUUGAUUUACGUUAUCUUCAAGCGGGAAACUUGUCAUCCAGUCUUCAUUUGCCCUUCUCUCUGGGCAGGAAAGAGCUCCAUUUUUCCCGCUCCACAGAGGACAUUUUAUUUUUGCAGUUCUUUGAAGUGCCCUCAGAGAUCUAAGCACCAGGCUGAAGGCAGCUCUGUGUAUCCUUGCAACAGAUUAGAACAUAUUCACAUUUUAUUUGCUCACAGAACAAAUAUUUCCCUUGGAAUGAGACCGAGGCAGUGGAGCAGGACCAGGCAGGACCAGCCACCAAAGACGGCCCCCCAGGCCCCAUGCUGGGCCUGCUCAGCGCCUGCACAAUUGGUUCCACAUAAUUGCUUCUCCACACUCACCUCAUUUAGGCCCUAUAGACACAUAUGGGCUGAUUAGUUGAGUCAUUUAUUGAUUCAGGAAUAUUUGUCGAGCCUCAACAAUGUACCAAACACUAUGCUGGUUACAGAAAUAAAGAGAGAAACACAUUCUGUCCUCAAGGGGCUCCUAAUCAAGUAGGGGAGAGAAGCAAUGUCUGUAUAUUAAUGAAUCAAAUCAAGGUGACAAAGAUAAGGCUUCAGAACCCAGGAGACAAAGUGUUUGAGGUAGGUCAUUAUUCUGUCUGUGUGUUGCGGGGUGUGUGGGCAAGGGUGAGGCGUGUGGGGUGGUGUGGAUAUGGUGUGCAUGGGCCUCUGUGUGUGUAGGUUAUGUGUAUGUGGUGUGUGUGGUGUGGGGAGUGUGUUUGUGUAUGGGAGUGUGUAUGUGUCUGUGGUGACAGUGGUGAAUAUGUGUGUGGGUAUGGUAGUGAUGGUACUAGGUGGUGUUUAGUGCAUGUCCUGUGAGAAUUGUGUGUAGGUAUAGGGAUGUGUGUGUAUAGUGGUGAUGGUGGUGUGUGGUGUGGGGGGGUGUGUGUGGUGGAGAGAGUGUGUGUAUGAGAGUGUGUAUGUAGUGAGUGAUGGUGGUGAAUGUGUGUAGUGGUGAUGGUGGUGUUUGUGUGGUGUGGGGUGUGUGUGUGUAGUGGUGAUGGUGGUGUUUGUGUGGUGUGGGGGGUGUGUGUGUGUGGUGAGUGGUGGUGAAUGUGUGUGUAGUGGUGAUGGUAUGUGUGGUGUGGGGGGUGUGUGUGGGGGGUGAGUGGUGGUGGUGUAUGUUUGGUGUGUGUGGUGUGUGUGUGUGGUGAGUGGUGGUGAAUGUGUGUGUGUAGUGGUGACGGUAUGUGUGGUGUGGGGUGAGUGGUGAUGGUGGUUGUGUGGUGUGUGUGUGUGUGUGUGGUGAGUGGUGGUGAAUGUGUGUGUGUAGUGGUGACGGUAUGUGUGGUGUGGGGUGAGUGGUGAUGGUUGUGUGGUGUGUGUGUGUGUGUGUGUGGUGAGGUGGUGGUAAAUGUGUGUGUAGUGGUGAUGGUAUGUUUGUGUGGUGUGGUGUGUGUGUGUGUGGAGUGGUGGUGAAUGUGUGUGUGUAGUGGUGAUGGUAUGUGUGGUGUGGGGGUGUGUGUGUGUGUGGUGAGUGGUGGUGGUGAAUAUGUGUGUGUAGUGGUGAUGGUGGUAUGUUUGUGUGGUGUGUGUGUGGUGUGGGGUGUGUGUGUGUGGUGAGUGGUGGGGUGGUGGUGAAUGUGUGUGUAGUGGUGAUGGUAUGUUUGUGUGGUGUGGUGUGUGUGUGUGUGGAGUGGUGGUGAAUGUGUGUGUGUAGUGGUGAUGGUAUGUGUGGUGUGGGGGGUGUGUGUGUGGUGAGUGGUGGUGGUGAAUAUGUGUGUGUAGUGGUGAUGGUGGUAUGUUUGUGUGGUGUGUGUGUGGUGUGGGGUGUGUGUGUGUGGUGAGUGGUGGGGUGGUGGUGAAUGUGUGUAGUGGUGAUGGUGGUGUUUGUGUGGUGUGGGGGGUGUUUGUGUGGUGUGGGGUGUGUGUGUGUAGUGGUGAUGGUGGUGUUUGUGUGGUGUGGGGGGUGUUUGUGUGGUGUGGGGUGUGUGUGCGUGGUGAGUGGUGGUGGUGAAUGUGUGUAUAGUGGUGAUGGUGUUUGUGUGGUGCGGGGUGUGUGUGUGUAGUGGUGAUGGUGGUGUUUGUGUGGUGUGGGGGGUGUGUGUGUGUGUGUGGUGUGGGGUGUGUGUGUGUGGUGAGUGGUGGUGGUGAAUGUGUGUGUGGUAGUGAUGGGGCAGGCUGAGGGCUGAGCCAGAGAAGGCAUGGAGAUGAGACAACUCCAGAGGGUAUGUAAGGGGAGGUGAGUGGUGGGAGGUGAGCUAGGAAGGCAUUUUUAAUGUUGACCCAUACUCUCUAAUCAAGACAAUGACAGUUUUGCAGCUGUUCCUCUUCCUAAGCUCAUGUGAGGAUUUUGGGUUAGAAUCACUGUGUUCUUCUCCGCAGGCCGAAGCUCCCUAGCGCUGGGGCCUCCACUCUGGGAAGGGCCCUGUGGGUGAAUCUCUGAGCGUUUACUGGGCUCCUUCUCUACCUGGGCUGCCGCACCCAGAACAGUUCUUAGAGUUUCCAGCCUCCUGAGCUCGCGGAAUAGCAAAGGUGGGUUCUACUGGACUUGGGGCAGAGGAGGUCUAAAUGUGAGAAUCCCUGAGGCAAAUGUUAGAAGAAAGGGCAGUGCGGCCGGGCAGGGGAUCUCCAGCUCUCUCACAAUGCAUGGCUGCCCUGGCUAGAUCUGGGCUGUGUGGAGCUGUUUAAACAACGAACAAGGGGCCAGGCACGGUGGCUCACGCCUGUAAUCCCAGCACUUUGGGAGGCCAAGGCGGGAUGGAUCACCCGAGUUCAGGAGUUUGAGACCAGUCUGGCCUAUGUGG
RNAcentral lists this long non-coding RNA (4085 nucleotides) under Homo sapiens (human). RNAcentral describes it as "HSALNT0065749". The record is from RNAcentral. Lineage: Eukaryota; Metazoa; Chordata; Mammalia; Primates; Hominidae.